CAAUAGCGUAUAUUAAAGUUGUUGCAGUUAAAAAGCUCGUAGUUGGAUUUCUGGUAGGAGUGACCGUUCCGAACUUGAUUGUUCGUGUAUUGUGUUUUCUCCAGCCAUCCUUGUGGAGAACUUUUCUUGCAUUAAUUUGUAGGGAUUGGGACCCGCAUCGUUUACUGUGAAAAAAUUAGAGUGUUUAAAGCAGGCAAUCGCUUGAAUACAUUAGCAUGGAAUAAUAAGAUAGGACUUUGGUACUAUUUUGUUGGUUUGCAUACCAAAUUAAUGAUCAACAGGAACAGUUUGAGGAUAUUCGUAUGAACAUGUCAGAGGUGAAAUUCUUGGAUUUUGAUCAGACGAACUACUGCGAANGNAUUUAUNAAGGAUGUUUNCAUUA
This 382-nucleotide ribosomal RNA is filed under the name uncultured eukaryote. RNAcentral describes it as "partial 18S ribosomal RNA". It matches the Rfam family "Eukaryotic small subunit ribosomal RNA", at positions 592 to 975 of the family's 1831-position model. The record is from RNAcentral.